Non-coding RNA from Lasius niger, 47 nucleotides. NCBI's taxonomy places the organism in Eukaryota, Metazoa, Arthropoda, Insecta, Hymenoptera, Formicidae. The record is from Rfam.
CAAACGGCCCUUUUCAGGGCCCCUCAAAAGAUCACACGUGAGCGCCU